Molecule: transfer RNA, 90 nt
Filed under: Anaerolineae bacterium
Lineage: Bacteria; Bacillati; Chloroflexota; Anaerolineae
Description: tRNA-Ser
Rfam family: tRNA
About the family: Transfer RNA (tRNA) molecules are approximately 80 nucleotides in length.
Source: RNAcentral
GGAGAGGUGCCGGAGCGGCCGAUCGGGGCGGUCUCGAAAACCGUUGUAGCUUUCGAGCUACCGUGGGUUCGAAUCCCACCCUCUCCGCCA